Molecule: ribosomal RNA, 368 nt
Filed under: Hubbardia pentapeltis
Lineage: Eukaryota; Metazoa; Arthropoda; Arachnida; Schizomida; Hubbardiidae
Description: partial small subunit ribosomal RNA
Source: RNAcentral
UUUGAUGAAUUAAGCUGACAAAAUUGUAUAAGAGGUUCUAUUGUAAAAUUUAAAGGAAUUGGCGGUGAAGAAGUUUUAUUCUGAGGAACUUGUUUGAUUAGAGUUGAUGGUACACGUUUGAUCUUAUCUUUAAUUGAAUUAGAUUUAUGUAUUGCUGUUUAAUUUAUUAUUUGAUAGUUUUUAAAUAAAUGUAAUCAAAUUUAAUUUGAUUAUUUCAAGUCUAAAUGUAGUUAUUUUAAAGGUUUAAAUGAGUUACUUUUUUUUAGAUAGAAAGAUAACGGAUAAGGGAUGUGAAUGCGUUUUUUUUAGGUUGGAUUAGGUUGUAAUAGGAAAUUAGUAAGUUCUUUUGAUAUAGUUUAUUUUCAUGU